AGGACGAACGCUGGCGGCGUGCUUAACACAUGCAAGUCGAACGGGGAUAAUUGUGGAAGUCUUCGGGAUGGAAAUGAUUAUCGAGUGGCGGACGGGUGAGUAACGCGUGAACAAUCUGUCCCAGACAGGGGGAUAACACUUGGAAACAGGUGCUAAUACCGCAUAAGACCACAGCAUCACAUGGUGCAGGGGUAAAAGGAGCGAUCCGGGUUUGGGGUGAGUUCGCGUCCGAUUAGCCAGUUGGCGGGGUAACGGCCCACCAAAGCGACGAUCGGUAGCCGAUCUGAGAGGAUGACCGGCCACAUUGGAACUGAGAGACGGUCCAAACUCCUACGGGAGGCAGCAGUGGGGAAUAUUGGGCAAUGGGCGAAAAAGCCUGACCCAGCAACGCCGCGUGAGUGAAGAAGGCUUUCGGGUUGUAAAGCUCUGUUAUAGGGGACGAAGGAAGUGACGGUACCCUAUAAGGAAGCCCCGGCUAACUACGUGCCAGCCGCCGC
Molecule: ribosomal RNA, 497 nt
Filed under: uncultured bacterium
Lineage: Bacteria
Description: bacterial SSU rRNA
Rfam family: Bacterial small subunit ribosomal RNA
Source: RNAcentral